AGAGGGUGAACGGCCACAUUGGGACUGAGACACGGCCCAAACUCCUACGGGAGGCAGCAGUGGGGAAUAUUGCACAAUGGGGGAAACCCUGAUGCAGCGACGCCGCGUGAGUGAAGAAGUAUUUCGGUAUGUAAAGCUCUAUCAGCAGGGAAGAAAAUGACGGUACCUGACUAAGAAGCCCCGGCUAACUACGUGCCAGCAGC
This 203-nucleotide ribosomal RNA is filed under the name uncultured Lachnospiraceae bacterium. RNAcentral describes it as "partial 16S ribosomal RNA". It matches the Rfam family "Bacterial small subunit ribosomal RNA", at positions 295 to 515 of the family's 1533-position model. The record is from RNAcentral. Lineage: Bacteria; Bacillati; Bacillota; Clostridia; Lachnospirales; Lachnospiraceae.